AUAAAUUCAUAUGUUCUUCCUAGAUCGUUUGAUUUACACACUAUCCUAGCUGUAAUAUACAGCAUGAUAUUCAUGCCUUUUUCUCAUAUUAGCUGGGCAGUCACCCAGAGCAAGAAGAUACGACAGAGACAGAAAGACGAAGAGAUUGAGGAGAUACACCACUAUAUCCUUUAUCUAAGCAGUCCUACCUGGAAGCCCAACAUGUAACAGAACUACUCUAAUUAAUGCCCCUUUACAACUAUCAGACCCCAUCUCGCUCCAUAGCCCCUGAGGCGACUCUGCAUGAUAUUGGAUUUCCAAGAACCACAGUUGGAAAAACAUUGGCUCUGUUCACCUUUGGAUAUGUGUAACCUGAGAGUUUUCAUGACAUAUGUGUUACCUGUAUUCACUCUGUUUACACUUUCUAACCAUUUUGUUUCUUUUGCUUUCUACAUGAUCUUUCCUUCUUCAUCUACUGAUUUCUUCUAUAAUGUUAUUAAUAUUAUUUAUUUCUUUUUCUAAACCACUAGUCCGGACACGCAGGCUCAGCGGCCAUGGCUCACGGGCCUAGCUGCUCCGCGGCAUGUGGGAUCUUCCCGGACCGGGGCAUGAACCCGCGUCCCCUGCAUCGGCAGGCGGACUCUCAACCACUACGCCACCAGGGAAGUCCUAAACCACUAGUAUUUUUUAAAGCAGUUUUACAUUUAGUAAGACUCUCAUUAUUUCUAUUUUUGUGGUUUUGAUAUUAUCUAUCAUUCUCAAAUCCAGGCCCAUGUUUAACCACCAGAUUUGAUUACUGACUUAACUAAUAUUUUAUGCAUUUUAAAUGUGCAUUAGUAUGUUCCCUGAAAUACUAGUAUACUAUUCAAAUAAAUUGUUCUUUUAUUCUUUCAAUACUUUUCACUGUCUGAAGUUUCCAUUGUAAAUAUUUAUAUGUGGUAAGUGACAUUUUCUGUAGUUUUAUUAUUAAUAAUGAAUUUACAGCUUACACGUUAAUUAUCUAAAAGGACAUUUUUAAAUUUCAUGAACAGGAGUUCUGAUGCAUAAUUGUUUUGUUAUUAGUUAAGAGUAGAAGAACAAAAUGGGGCAGAGUGGUUUGUAAAUAAACCUAUUUUUUUUCAAAUAGGAUGUGUAUAAUAAAUGACAUGACAUUUUAGUUACUAUGUUUAUUUCAUUCUUACCUUUCCCAUUUUUUAUAUUCCCUUUAAUGCUUCUUUUAUUAUUGCAUUAUUCAAAGGUAAAAUGUAUUUCAAUACCAUAUUGAAUAAAGAAGUACCUGUAUAGUUAUUAUAGUCCCUUUAUUUUUCAAUGUUUACAACUAUUGCUGUUCACUUUUGCUAUCUCCCUCUCUUUUCAACUAUAUUAAUUUUCCAAACCCCUCUUGAAAAGUCACUGGAGCAGUAUUUGUUGAAUUCAGCAUUCAAUCCAAUCUCCCUGUCACAAAUAAAAACUCCAAACAGGUAUCCAGAAAAACAUUUAUCUCCAAAAGUAUGAAUCUUUUGUUUAUAAUUAUAUUUCCUAAAGCCAUGAUAUGUCCCUGACAAUAUUUGGUGGUCACAACCUGUUCAUACAUGCUCAAUCAAAUGUUGUAUCAAAUUUGAGAUCAAUGAUGUAUUUAAAGGUGGAUGUUAUAAUGCACACAAAAUCAUAUUGUUGGAUUAGUUAUUAAUAUAUUUAGUUUAUCAUUUUAUAAAUAUACACAGAUUUGCUCAUUCAGGAAAGGAGGAAAUAGUCAUUGAAUAUAGUGAAAAUUUUGUAUUUAUAGAAUGUAGAUCCAUAUAGUCAUAUCUGAGAACUGAUAAAAAGUUGCCAAGAAGUACUGUUUUAAUACUCAGAUAUGGCUCAUUCACAUUUGUCAUAAUAAAAACUUUUGAGUCUAACAUAUGUUAACCUGACUUCUUUUUUGUAGAAGUUUGGGUAAUGAUCUAUCCUUACUCUUGUCAAUUACUUCAAACAGCAGAACUUCCCUCACCUGCUAUCAAGAAUACAAGAACCUACCUUGUGCCUGCAUCCUCACCAACCUCUUCUCAGGCUACUCAGCUAAUUUGCAAGGGUGCUCAGAACUGAAGUGCCACAACCUCCAAUAAAUGUAAACCCAGUCAAAGGGAACUAGCUAAAGAGAUGCAAGAAUAUUCAGUUCAACCACAAGUUCCUUCACUGUGAACCCAAUGACUCUGAAAACUAUGAAAGCUGCUAAUUUUCAUUAUUUUGAAUAUUAUACAGAUAGGAAGUAAAAUCCCAUAAAAAUUUCUAAUUCAAUAAAUCCUACUAUGCCAUUGUAAGAGAAAUGGUGCCUCAAAGAAAAUUAGAAUAAAAUAAAGAUCUAUUUCCAAACAUAUGCCAUGUACAGAUCAAGUUUUUUAAAAGGGUCUCUAAAAAGAGAUCAAGCAGGUAGGGAAGAAAUCAAGAAUAUUAUUCCAGAGAAGCCAAAAUAAGAAUGCCCAGAAGCCAUCAAAUGCCCAAUUCUGCUGAGACGUUAAAGAAAAUAAGGAAUAUUUUAAGAGUUAACUUUUUUCCAUUUAGUAAAAAAAUAAAUAAAUACAAAUAAAAACGUUUGUGUAUAAGGAUGAGGAAGAGUAGUAUACUGUGUGUAGCUUGCAUGAAGAAAAAUGUAUUGGGUGGGCCAAAAGGUUCAUUUGGUUCUCUCUGUAAGAUGGCUCUAGUAGCACUUAGUUGUCUUUAACUUCGUUCAAAACAAUUUUGUUAGAUUGUAUGUGACAGCUGUCAUAUCAGUGUGCAUUUAAAAAUAGACUUACAAAAUGGGUGAAUUUUUGUGUAGCCAUUUUAAUAUUGAAGAUAGAAGAAAAAAGCAACAUUUUCAGCACAUUAUGCUUUAUUAUUUCAAGAAAGGUAAUAAUGCAACUGUAAUGCAAAAAAUGAUUUGUGCAGUGUAUGGAGAAGGUACUGUGACUGACUGAACGUGUCAAAAGUAGUUUGCGAGGUUUCGUGCUGGAGAUUUCUCACUGGAUGAUGCUCCGCUGUCUGAUAGACCAGUUAAAGUUGAUAGCGAUCAAAUCGAAACAAUAAUUGAGAACAAUCAACAUUAUACCACACGGAAGAUAGCUGACAUAUUCAAAAUACACAAAUCAAGCGUUGAAAUCAUUUGCACCAUCUCGGUUACCUGAAUCACUUUGACAUUUAGGUUCCACAUAAUUUAAGCGAGAAAACCUUCUUGACCACAUUUCCGCAUUCAAUUCUCUACUGAAACGUAAUGAAAACGUUCCAUUUUUAAAACAAAUUGUGACAGGUGAUGAAAAGUGGAUACUGUACAACAACGUGGAACAGAAGAGAUCAUGGGGCAAGCGAAAUGAACCACCACCAACCACACCAAAGGCCGGUCUUCAUCCAGAGAAGGUGAUGUUGUGUAUAUGGUGUGAUUAGAAGAGAGUCCUCUAUUAUGAGCUCCUUCCGGAAAACCAAACGAUUAAUUCCAACAAGUACUGCUCCCAGUUAGACCAACUGAAAGUGGCACUCGACAAAAAGCAUCCAGAAUCAGUCAACAGAAAAUGCAUAAUCUUCCAUCAGGAUACCGCAAGACUGCAUGUUUCUUUGAUGACCAGGCAAAAACUGUUACAGCUUGGCUGGGAAGUUUUGAUUCAUCCACCGUAUUCACCACACAUUGCACUUUCGGAUUUCCACUUAUUUCGGUCUUCACAAAAUUCUCUUAAUGGAAAAAGUGUCAAUUCCCUGGAAGUCUGUAAAAGGCACCUGGAACAGUUCUUUGCUCAAAAAGGUAAAAAGUUUUGGGAAGAUGGAAUUGUGAAAAAUGGCAGAAGGUAGUGGAGCAAAAGGGUGAAUACGUUGUUCAAUAAAGUUCUUGGUGAAAAUGAAAAA
Orcinus orca (killer whale) is the source of this 3813-nucleotide long non-coding RNA. RefSeq lists it as uncharacterized. The record is from RefSeq and is a predicted model, not a curated record. The transcript has 2 exons. NCBI's taxonomy places the organism in Eukaryota, Metazoa, Chordata, Mammalia, Artiodactyla, Delphinidae.